CCUACGGGUGGCAGCAGUGGGGAAUAUUGGACAAUGGGGGCAACCCUGAUCCAGCCAUGCCGCGUGUGUGAAGAAGGCCCUCGGGUUGUAAAGCACUUUCAGUGAGGAAGAACGCCUGGUGGUUAAUACCCAUCAGGAAAGACAUCACUCACAGAAGAAGCACCGGCUAACUCCGUGCCAGCAGCCGCGGUAAUACGGAGGGUGCGGGCGUUAAUCGGAAUUACUGGGCGUAAAGCGCGCGUAGGUGGCUUGAUAAGCCGGUUGUGAAAGCCCCGGGCUCAACCUGGGAACGGCAUCCGGAACUGUCAAGCUAGAGUGCAGGAGAGGAAGGUAGAAUUCCCGGUGUAGCGGUGAAAUGCGUAGAGAUCGGGAGGAAUACCAGUGGCGAAGGCGGCCUUCUGGACUGACACUGACACUGAGGUGCGAAAGCGUGGGUAGCAAACAGGAUUAGAUACCCUAGUAGUC
RNAcentral lists this ribosomal RNA (465 nucleotides) under Vreelandella stevensii. RNAcentral describes it as "partial 16S ribosomal RNA". It matches the Rfam family "Bacterial small subunit ribosomal RNA", at positions 338 to 795 of the family's 1533-position model. Lineage: Bacteria; Pseudomonadati; Pseudomonadota; Gammaproteobacteria; Oceanospirillales; Halomonadaceae. The record is from RNAcentral.